AGAUCUAACACAAUUAUUUCCUCCUCUCUCGCAGCUACAGGAAUCGCUGGAGGCAUAAAGGUGAAAGAAUCACAAAGCUGGCAACAAUUUAGAAAUGUUUUAAGAAGAGAAUUAUUCAUCAACACAAUGAUUCAUGCUCACCAGUUUUCCAGAGGAGCUAAGGACCAGUCUAUGGCUGUCCUCUUGGCUUAACCAGUUCCAGCCGCUCAGCAUUGUCUUCCUUCUUCUUCAGGGAAACAAGAUUGCAAAUGGUACGCCAAAACGCACUAGUUUCUUUGUAUUGUUGCCUGCCUAGCAUGCAGGUUACUAGUAAGUUCUGAGUUAAUAUAGGGUCUUUAUUU
RNAcentral lists this long non-coding RNA (341 nucleotides) under Dromaius novaehollandiae (emu). Its description in RNAcentral is "lncRNA (ENSDNVG00000009210.1)". Lineage: Eukaryota; Metazoa; Chordata; Aves; Casuariiformes; Dromaiidae. The record is from RNAcentral.